This 500-nucleotide ribosomal RNA is filed under the name uncultured bacterium. RNAcentral describes it as "partial 16S ribosomal RNA". It matches the Rfam family "Bacterial small subunit ribosomal RNA", at positions 29 to 523 of the family's 1533-position model. The record is from RNAcentral.
AUUGAACGCUGGCGGCAUGCCUUACACAUGCAAGUCGAACGGCAGCACGGGAGCAAUCCUGGUGGCGAGUGGCGAACGGGUGAGUAAAGUAUCGGAACGUGCCCAGUCGUGGGGGAUAACGUAGCGAAAGUUACGCUAAUACCGCAUACGAUCGAUGGAUGAAAGCGGGGGAUCGCAAGACCUCGCGCGAUUGGAGCGGCCGAUAUCAGAUUAGGUAGUUGGUGGGGUAAAGGCUGACCAAGCCGACGAUCUGUAGCUGGUCCGAGAGGACGACCAGCCACCCUGGGACUGGGACACGGCCCAGACUCCUGCGGGCGGCAGCAGUGGGGAAUUUUGGACAAUGGGCGAAAGCCUGAUCCAGCCAUGCCGCGUGCAGGAUGAAGGCCUUCGGGUUGUAAACUGCUUUUGUACGGAACGAAAAGGUUUGGCCGAAUAAGCUGAGCUCAUGACGGUACCGUAAGAAUAAGCACCGGCUAACUACGUGCCAGCCGCCGCCGUAA